Long non-coding RNA from Vespa velutina, 1639 nucleotides. RefSeq lists it as uncharacterized. The record is from RefSeq and is a predicted model, not a curated record. NCBI's taxonomy places the organism in Eukaryota, Metazoa, Arthropoda, Insecta, Hymenoptera, Vespidae. The transcript has 3 exons.
CAGCUGCCUACCAGCCUUACUACCAGUAAUAUUACUACUGCUUGCUUAUCAUCAGAAACAACCCGGAUGAAUUUUUCGAUGACGGCACAUAAACCGAGAAUCACGCAUGAUUAUACGUAGUCGCCGGCAGUCGAGCAGCUGCAACGGACAUCAUGUUGAUGAAGAUAUGGACGCCAACGUCUUUUACCUACCUUCUCGCUUGCCCUCUCCUCUUCUGGUAAUAUGAGGUAAUCGUGAAACUCUUUGAAGCCAAUGCUCUGGAAGAUGCCUUUCGUGUAAUCAGGUGACCUGGAAUAUAAACAUUUACUUCAAUCCUGUUCGUUCUUUCUUCUUCCGUAUCGUUUAAUCAUUUUUUUCUUUAUUUUCAUUCUAUUUCAUUGUAAAGUUAAAAUUUUAACCAAUUAACUUAUCGUUAAAUUUGUCCCUUAUUGUUCCUUAUCGUUAAUAAAUUAAUACGGACGAAUAUAACGAGAUACUCUGUUCGAUUUUUAGCUUUUUCUUUCUUUCUUUCUUUCUUUCUUUUUUCUAUUUACUUUGGCAAUAAUGAUCUUUUAUUCCUUUUCUACUUUUUAUGGUUUCAACGAAAUGAAAUUUUGUUCUUAUAUUUUAUAUGCGGGUUAUGCAUCUGCGUUAAUAUCACAAAUGAUGAAGAUAAUGAUUAAUUUAAGCAUCAUCGUGCAUUCUUGCAGACCUAUUAUGCUAACACCAAUGCAACUUAAACCAGUUUAUGCUAAUCAUGAUACGAGUAAUCUAAUACAUAUAUGUUGUGUAUGUGUAUGUGUGUGUGUGUGUGUGUGUGUGUGUGUAUAUAAGACAUUUCCCGUUGCUCGGUAUGUUGUGUCUAUGAACGAAACGGUCAACGAAAUUCUUUGACCAAGACAUCAGCAAGUUUCUUGAACGUUUAUUCUUUAUUUAAAAAGCAAUUUGUAAACGUGACGAAUCAUCGACUCUUCGAAAUUAUUAUUACAGUUUAAAAGAAAUGAACUUACGAGUUAAUUUCAAAUAGAUUUGAUUGAAGGAAAAGAAGAUACUUCUUUUACGGUUAUACGCAAUGAACUCGUACCCAUUCACUGUAGAGACCAUCGUUUCAAAAAAGAUGGAUUGCAUUUUGCACAGUCGUCGGCUUAUCACGACACGAUAGUGAUAGUGAGCUCGAGGUCACGUUAUAUGUACACCAAGCUUACGUGGCGAGAAAAUCCAAUGCUAACGUAGUCCCGUCUCACUUGUCCACACACGUGUCAAUACCAAAUAUCCAACCGCACGGUCGCUCCACCAACGAGGAAGCUGACGAAGACAACCAAGUCGAUUCUCUCUCCCUCGGUGUUCGAUUUUCUUCCCACAAUUCUGGCUCCCGUAGGAUGACUAACGUCUGCCAGUUUCUUUGGCAUCAAUCCAGGAUCACUCCGAGGGAUAGAUAGAUUUUAGCCACGACGCUUUCCCGUCUUGUCUCAACCUUGGCCAAGCAGUGACGAACAGGGUAGACACUUUUAUCAAGAUAACCUUACCAUGGAAUAUUAUUACGAAGAACAUUGAAAUCCUACGAUGAUGGACUUUUCAAGAAGACUGAUGAGACACCGGACAAAAGAAAAGUUUCGUCAUUCCAUUUUUCCAAUGAAAAUUGACAUUAAAUUUUGUAAAU